This 72-nucleotide transfer RNA is filed under the name Ovis aries (sheep). It matches the Rfam family "tRNA". From Rfam's summary of the family: Transfer RNA (tRNA) molecules are approximately 80 nucleotides in length. Their secondary structure includes four short double-helical elements and three loops (D, anti-codon, and T loops). Lineage: Eukaryota; Metazoa; Chordata; Mammalia; Artiodactyla; Bovidae. The record is from Rfam by way of RNAcentral.
UCCCUUAUAGCUCAGUUGGUAAAGAAUCUGCCUGCAAUGCAGGAGACCCGGGUUCGAUUCCUGGGUUGGGAA